GAUGAAGAACGUAGCGAAAUGCGAUAAGUAGUGUGAAUUGCAGAAUUCCGUGAAUCAUCGAAUCUUUGAACGCACAUUGCGCCCUUUGGUAUUCCUUAGGGCAUGCCUGUUCGAGCGUCAUUUAAACCUUCAAGCCUCGCUUGGUGUUGGGUAUCCGCCUAGUCAAUAGGCCUGCCCCAAAGAUAUUGGCAGCUUGUCCACCCGCUCUCAGCGCAGCACAAUUGCGCUCCGACUGGAGGAUGAGAUCCCAAAAGCGUAUUUUUAAAUCUUGACCUCGGAUCAGGUAGGGAUACCCGCUGAACUUAAGCAUAUCAAUUAAGCGGAGGA
This 327-nucleotide unclassified non-coding RNA is filed under the name soil metagenome. Its description in RNAcentral is "partial contains 5.8S ribosomal RNA, internal transcribed spacer 2, and large subunit ribosomal RNA". The stretch from base 1 to 120 matches the Rfam family "5.8S ribosomal RNA", at positions 35 to 154 of the family's 154-position model. The record is from RNAcentral.